UUACUGCUUUUGACAAUUGAGUAAAACAUACUCCUGUGAAUAAAAUUUGGAGCAUAUUUGUUUCUCUCUAUCUGAUUUCUCCAGAAUUUGGAAACUAUUUGUGAGUAUUCUUAACUUAUGGCAAUAUAGUUAUUUGCAUAAGUGCAUUAAGAAUGUUUUCUUUUGAAGAGACUGGUUGUUUCACCAAGGCUUUUACUGGAAUGGCAUGCUUUCCUUUAAGGAAUCAAACUUGACUUAUAGAGCCAAUAAACAUUCCCUGGGAAAACUGGCCUCAUACCUUGUCUACACAGUCCCUGUACAGGAAUCCUUGUAACCACCCAAGGGAUUCACCUUGCCCACUGCCUAGACAGAGUCGAUUCAUCAAGACAGGGGAAUUUCAAUAGAGAAAGAGUAAUGCAUGCAGAGCCAGCUGUGCAGGAGACUGGAGUUUUAUUAUUACUCAAAUCAGUCUCCCUGAGCAUUUAAGGAUAACUUGGUGGGUUGGGGGAAGCCAGUGAGCCAAGAGUGGUUAUUGGUCAGAAGUGAAAUCACAGGGAAUCAAAGCUGUCUUCUUGUGCUGAGUCAGUUCCUGGGUUGGAGCCACAAGAUCAGAUCAGCCGGUUUGUUGAUCUGGGUGGUGCCAACUGAUCCAUCAAGUGCAGGGUCUGAAAAAUGUCUCAAGCACUGAUCUUAGGAGCUGUUUAGGGAGGGUCAGAAUCUUGUAGCCUCCAGCUGCAUGACUCCUAAACCAUAAUUUCUAAUCUUGUGGCUAAUGUUAGUCCUACAAAGGCAAUGUAGUCCCCAGGCAAGAAGGAGGUUUGCUUUGAGAAAGGGCUAUUACCAUCUUUGUUUAAACUAUAAACUAUAAGUUUUUCCCAAAGUUAGUUCAGCCUAAGUGCAGGAAUAAACAAGGAUAGCUUGGAGUUAGAAGCAAGAUGCAGUUGGUUAAGUUAGAUCUCUUUCACUGUCUCAGUCGUAAUUUUGCAAAGGUGGUUUCGUCCUGACUUGUGGUAAGUAAAGAAUGUCACUUUCUAACAGGCCCAGGAGCCCCAGAUUAUCUUGGGACUUUCAGAAGAAUUUACCCAACUUGUAGGUAUUUAAGUGUACAAACACAUGGCUGGGCUCAGCUUAAAACAGUCUUAUCUGAAAUUCCUUAUGGAACAGAGUUCCAUCAAAGCCAGUUUAAAAAGCCCAUAUGAAAAAUAAUUAUUCUUGGUGCACUUAUACAAAUAAUCAGGCCAAGUAUAAUAAAGCAAAUUGGUGUUACCAUUAUUUGUCUUUAGUAAAAAUGAAAAACUGGAGAGAGAAAAAUCAUGUUUGAAAAACUAUAGGAUACCUGUUGUUAGAUGUUCUUAAGUUUUUCUUUUUUUCUGCAAUUUAGAUUAAAUCCUAAUAUUUUUGUGGGCUACAGGUCCCUAAAUUAAUGUUUUCAAAUCUUUACUUUUAAAACUGGGAAUUGCGCUUUUUAUCCUAGAACUCAUUAUUUACUUUAUAGGACACUGUCCACUUAAAUGCUGUACUGAAAGGUGUUAGUAUAGAUAACAACACUAACACCUUUGUCAUGCAAGCCUUGAAACCCCAGCCAGGCCUGCCUGAGUAUGCUUGGACAGUUGCAAAGCAGUUCUACUCUCCUCCCCUUGGGGUCAACACCUACCCUCACCACAACAAUUUAAUUAGUUACAGUUUGUUUUCUUUUCUGUACUGUUUGUUUUUCUUUUCCUUUCUAAUUUAAAAGAGUGUGUUUAACCCUCCAUCUUAGACAAUGUGAUAGUCAUGAAGUCUUUGUGUAAGAAAAGAAGAAGAAAAGAUAAUCUGUAAUGAAGAUCAAUAAGGGUCUUCUCUGGUGCCCUUCAGUUAACUACUGUCUUUUACAAAACAACGUAGGUAAGGAAAAAAGUUAAUCUAUAACAGAGAAAUAAAAAUCACAUUGGCCUAGGUGACAGCUGCCUGCUUAUGUUGACUCAGGUACCAUAAUCACAUUCCCUUAAGGCUCAGAUAUUUUAAAGUUCCAACAGCUUAGAUUUUAAGUGACCUAUUUUUACAGAGGAAGGAUUCUGAGCAUAUUCUAAGGCAAUGACAUUUAAGUGGACUUUCAGCCUAGUUCAAAGGAAAACCGGGCCUGAUUCAUAAAGAAGGAAAAUUGAGGAUAAAGAACUAUAGGGAAAAAAAAAGUUACCACUAUAGGUGUAUGACAGACAUUUAGACUACAAGGAAGCCUUUGAUGACCCAAAGGCCUGGAAGGGGGUAGGGGGAGGUGAUAAUCAGGGAGAAAAGGCUCAUGUUAUUGUAGUGGCCUUGGAAAUGGGAAAACUGUGGAUGAAAAUGUCGGUAGGAUGGGCACCACAGUUACUCCAGAAGUGAUGUCAGGAGCCAUGCUAAUAGAUGGGAACAGAUUGACUCCAGGAUUCACUAAUGAGGACUGUCUGAAGACUGAUAAUUUGUUUGGGGUAAUUCACCAUCUGUAAUUGUUCAUCAGGCUAAUAUGUCUUGGGCAGUAUAGUUACUUAGGAAAGAGAGUUUCUGGUUUGUGUGAACUGACCUGCUUCAGUCCAUGAGAGGUGAUGAACUGAUACUGUUAUUGAAAUGCCAAGGGUUCAAUCUAGGUCCCAUUACUUGCCACACAGAAAGCCAAUCACUGAGACAACAAGUAUUGACAGGGAAGAAGGCUUUAAUCGGUUGCUGCAGCCAAGGAGAUGGAAGAUCAUUCUCAAAUCUGUCUCUCUGACUGACUAAAAUUGGGGGCCUUUAUAUAGUGGAGGAAGUGAUGUAGCUACAUAGGGAGAGGAAUUAGAGAGGGUUAGGAAGCAAUCAUGAUGAGUGAAGAAUCUGGUGCCUCAUUGUCUGGAUCUGGAGAGCUGAUGGGUUUCAGUUCCUGAGGAAGGAACUCAGAUGUGACAAACGUAAGUUUCAAGUUUUAAGCACCAGGAGGGUCAAUUUCUAUGUUUAUUGAAAAAGCCUUAAAUGUCAUUUCUAUGGGACAAUUGGGCUGUUUUCAACACCCGAAUCUAUAGUUUCUGAUUCUCACUUUUUGUGUGUGCAUUAUUGUUGUUGUUUAUUGUUUUUUAUAAGGGGAGUUUUCUGUAUGUAAAAAUACUUCUCUUAUUGCGUUGAAUUGGUUGUACAAUUGAUCAUAAGAUACUCUAUCAAUAAAAUAACAGAUUUUGGGGAAACAAAAAUACUGCAUGACAUGCAUGUACAUUUCUUUUUCACAUUAAAAAAUACUAUGUACUACAGGAUCACAAUUAAGGUUUGCAUUUAAUCCUUUUAUACAUUUAAAGUCUGAAGAUUCUUCUAGGUCACUUUUUGACAUUGACAAGCUUGUACAACAUCACGGUGACACUGACAUCACUUGGAUAUGAUGACUGAGCAAGAUUGAGUAUGAAGAAUGACCCCCUAGGAUGACUUUUAUAUGACUGAAUGGAGGGUGAUGCCUUUUAGUUGCUACGUAGAGCCAUGGAACAGAUCUGUGGAACUAGAUCAUGAGAUGAAUUUUGGAUAUGUGGAAGCAUUUUGAAACAUUUCUUUGAGAAAUUCAAAUGGAGCUAUCAAAUAACCAACUGGGGCCAGGUACGGUGGCUCACGCCUGUAAUCCAAGCACUUUGGGAGGCUAAGACAGAUGGAUUGCUUGAGCCCAGGAGUUUGAGACCAGCUUGGGAAACAUGAAGAAACCCUAUCUCCACAAAAAAUGCAAAGAUUAGCUGGGUGUGGUGGCACACACCUGUAGUCUCAGCUACUCAAGAGGCUGAGAUGGGAGAAUGGACCCGGGAGGUGGAGGUUGCAGUGAGCCAAGAUCACGCCAUGGCACUCCAGCCUGGGUGACAGCGCAAGACCCUGUCUCAAAGAAAAAAAAAAAGCCAUUGGAUAAAAGUCUGGAAUUGAGUGGCAAGGUCUGUAAAUCUGUGAGUUACCUCCAUCAGGAUGGGACUUAAUAUCAUAAAAUGAUAUUUUAUAAAGGUUGGCAGUGGAGAGGAUCCAAAAUAUUAGGGUAUGGGUAAGGUUUAGAGGCUGGAAGGAUGGUAAUCCAUGAUAUGCAGUGGUGAAACAGUGGAUAAAACUAUCUCCUGCAAAAACUUGGGAGAAGUAUCGUAUAUCUAAUAAAGUUUAGCUUUAGACGACAAGAUGGAAAAAUAGAAUAUUAGAAGCUCAUGUGGGUUUCUAUUGGAUGUAUUUGCCAGACAUUAUUAGAAAGAGAUGAACUCAGAAAAUAAUUACUGUGUUUGGAAUCAGGAAUGAAAAGGAGGACAGAAAAUUAUGAAAUUCAGGGACUUAUUCUUGGAAGAAGCAAUGGCUUUUCAACUUCAACUAGAGAAAGCUAAUACUAAGAAGGCUUCCGAAUAACAAAAGCUGAUUAAAACUAAGCUUUGUGUCAAGGGUCAAACCCGCUGAUAUUAAAACAACUGAAUGAAAUAAGAUGUUUCAGAGUAAGCGUCCAGCCAAAUUUGUCCAGCCCAGUAAAUAAAUACCUUUAGUGACUCAGAAAAAAGAGAUUAAAUGUGAGGCAAUCCCUGUGCAGCCUUAUAAACAGCAGGUAUGCACAAUUAAUUUGUGAGAGAGCAUUUUGAAUGUAAGAAAGCAAAUACAGGGCCAGGUGCGGUGGCUCACGCCUGUAAUCCCAGCACUUUGGGAGGCCGAGGCGGGCAGAUCACGAGGUCAGGAGAUCAAGACCAUCCUGGCUAACAUGGUGAAACCCCGUCUCUACUAAAAAUACAAAAAAUUAGCCAGGCGUGGUGGCAGGUGCCUGUAGUCCCACCUACUCGAGAGGCUGAGGCAGGAGAAUGGCGCGAACCUGGGAGGCAGGGCUUGCAGUGAGCUCAGAUGGCGCCACUGCACUCCAGCCUGCAUGACAAAGCGAGACUCCGCCACAAAAAAAAAAAAGAAAGCAAAUACGUAGGCAUUCUGAGUACCCUGUCUAAGGAGAAAAAUAAAAUCUAGGGACAUAGAACUGACAGGAGUCAGAACAUAAGGGGCUUGUUUUAAGGAGGUGAUAAGCUGGGCAUGGUGGCUCACACUUGUAAUCCAACUUUGAGCAAUCCCUCAAGGAGAAUUACCUGAGGCCAGGAGUUUGAGACAAGCCUGGGCAACAUAGAAAGACCGCCACCCCUCCGCCAAAAAACAAGCUGUCCAUGGUGGGUACCCCUGUAGUUCUAGCUACUUGGGAGGCUGAGGUGGGAGGAUUGCUUUAGCCCAGAAGGUCGAGGCUGCAGUGAGCCAAGAUUGUGUCAUUGUACUCCAGCCUGGGUGAUAGGACAAGACCCUGUCUCUAAUAAAAAUAAACACAUAGGCCAGGGGUGGUGGCUCAUGCCUGUAAUCCCAGCACUUUGGGAGGCCAAGGUGGGCGGAUCACCUGAGGUUAGGAGUUUGAGCCCAGCCUGGCCAACGUGGUGAAACCCCGUGUCAACUGAAAAUACAAAAUUAGCCAGGCGUGGUGGUGUGCGCCUGUGGUUCCAGCUACUUGGGAGGCUGAGGCAGGAGAAUCGCUUAACCUGGGAGGCAGAGGUUGCAGUGAGCCGAGAUAGUGCCAUUGCACUCCAGCCUGGGCAACAAGAGCGACUCCAUCUCAAAAAAAAAAAAAAAAGAAAAAGAAAAAGCGAAAUACAUAAAAAAUUAAAAAAAUAAAGGAGUGAUCUGGCAAAAGAACCACAUGGUCAACCAGAAGCCCGUGACUAACUGAGACCUAACAAUGACCCUGGGUCAUCAACCUGCUAUGGGCAGGAAGUAGCCUGAGAAAGCUUCUCAGUACUCAAGGAGGAGCUUCUAUCCAAUUCCACUUCAAGUGUGACCAAGGAGGGUGACAGAAAAGGAAGAAUCUCCCAGAGGGUGAAGCCAAAGGUCAAGGUGGCAGUUUCAGAGUCUUCUUCUGUGCCUUUCCCACCAGAAAGGCUGUUGUUUAAUGGUCAGAGAGCCAAUGGGAGGCAUUUUUUCAGCUACUGAGUAUAGCCAUCCUUAGGGGUGACUAUCAUACAUUUAGGGGCUGGGGAAAAGAGCAGAGAGUGUGUCUAUGUGACUAACAGUGAGAUGGAUUUGAUUUAUAACUUCCUUUAUUCUUUGGUCUCCAUAUGCUCCCAUGCUAAAGUGUGGUAGGCAUGAUGGCAUUUUGGUUCCCUUAAUACCUGUGUCAGCUCAGACUCUGUAUCAUACAGUCGUGAGUAUUCCCUCUGCUCUGUGAACAGUUAUUCUGGAAAACGGCCAAAUAUGCACCUACACAUUGGAAUAAUACUCUACAUAAAUGAGAAUGAACAAACCACAACUUUACACAACAAUAUUGAUGAGUUUCGCAAACAUAAAGUUGAAUAACAAAAGCAAGAUACAGAAGAGUACAUAGUAUAUGAUUCCAUUUAUAUAAUCAUUAAAAACAGGCAAAACUAGUUUAUCAUCAUUGAAGUCAAGAUAGGUAACCAUUGGGGGGCUAGUAAUUGAGAAGAGAAGAAAUAUGGGAUUUCUGAGAAUGGUUGUAUUGUUCUUUCUCUUGAUCUUAGUGUUGUUUACAUUGUCAUUCUCUGAAAAUGCAUCAAUCUUUACAUUUAUGACGUGCACUUUUCAGUAUGUAUGCUAUACUAUUAAUAUUUUUGUAUAAGUCUUUGCGGGUGGAUCUACAUCUAUUAUUUUUAUAUCUUCAUUUCUUUUAGAUAAUUACCUAUAAGUAGGGCUAUAAGGUCAUAGGCUAUGUUUAAUUUUUUUUUUUUUUUUUUUUUUUUGAGACAGGGUUUCACUCUGUCACCUACGCUCAAGUGCAGUCAGUAGCACCAUCACAGCUCACUGCUUGACCUCCUGGGCACAAGCAAUCUUCCCACCUCAGCUUCCCAAGUAGCUGGGACUAUAGAUGCACACUACCAUGCCCAGCCAUUUUAAAAAAAUUUUUGUAGAGAUGGUGUCUCCCUGUGUUGCUUAGGCUGAUCUCAAACUCUUGGACUCAAGCGAUCCUGCUGCCUCAAAGUGCUGGGAUUACAGGUUUGAGCCACCAUACCUGGCCCUGUUUAAUUUUUUUGACUACUGAAUUUCCUAAAGAAGUUGUAGCAUUUUACACCCCUACUAGGAGUAAAUGAAAAUUCCAGUUGUUCUACAUCCUUGUCAACUCUCGUGAUUGUCUUCUUCAUGUUUGCCAUUCUGGUAGGUGGUCAUGAUUUUAUCUCUUUGUGGUUUUAAUUUUUACUUCCCUGAUAGCUUAUAAUAUCAAGUGCCUGUUCACCAUUCUAAAUACUUAGAACAGGGUCAGGCACAAUGUUAGUGUUCAAUAGAUGUUUAAUGAAUAAAGGAAUUAAAUAUCAGGAAUUUCAACGUUAUACCUUUUACUAAGUAUGUACCAAGCUCUAAACCACAAUUAACAGCAGUAUGCAAAAUAUGACUUUUCUUUAUUUCUACAUGUGAAGUUCCUAAAAGCAGAGUAGUAUUAACUGUUCUCUUUUUAUGUAUAAAAGAGUGGUUAAAAGACUGGGUUCUAGCAACAGACUCCCUGGCUGUCUCAUCUAUUAUCUGUGUGAUUUUAGGAAAUUUAGAAGAUUGUUUCAUGCCUCAGCCUCCUCAUCUGUACAAUUGCUGCCAUAAUAGAAUCUACUUCAUAGUGUUGUUUUGAGGAUUGAAUGAGGCAAUUUAUGCAAUGUAUUUAGAACAGUGCCUGGCAUAUAGUAAGCUCUCAGUAAAUGUUAGUUUUUGUUAUUUUCCAGAUAUGUUUAAAAAAAAAAGCUUACAAUUCUUUUCUAUAAACUGUGUAUAUGAGUAAGAAAAACAUGGCUCCUUUUUACAGUUAAGAAAUUGAAGCUCAACGAGUUAUUGGUUUUUGUUUUGUUUGUUUGUUUGUUUGAGAUGGAGUCUCACUCUAUCACCCAGGCUGGAGUGCAGUGGCGCCAUCUUGGCUCACUGCAACC
RNAcentral lists this long non-coding RNA (7841 nucleotides) under Homo sapiens (human). RNAcentral's name for it is "HSALNT0301605". The record is from RNAcentral. Lineage: Eukaryota; Metazoa; Chordata; Mammalia; Primates; Hominidae.